GACGAACCGGACGAACGUUAUUCGGAAUUACUGGGCUUAAAGAGUUCGUAGGCGGCCAAGAAGGGGAUGUGUGAAAUCCCACGGCUCAACCGUGGAAUGGCGCUUCAAACCACUUGGCUGGAGGAAGGUAGGGGUGAGCGGAACUGAUGGUGGGGCGGUGAAAUGCGUUCAUAUCAUCAGGAACACCGGUGGCGAAGGCGGCUCACUGGACCUUUUCUGACGGUGAGGACCGAAAUCCGGAGUAGCGAACGGG
Molecule: ribosomal RNA, 253 nt
Filed under: uncultured bacterium
Lineage: Bacteria
Description: partial 16S ribosomal RNA
Rfam family: Bacterial small subunit ribosomal RNA
Source: RNAcentral